This 253-nucleotide ribosomal RNA is filed under the name uncultured bacterium. RNAcentral's name for it is "partial 16S ribosomal RNA". It matches the Rfam family "Bacterial small subunit ribosomal RNA", at positions 524 to 776 of the family's 1533-position model. The record is from RNAcentral.
UACGUAGGUGGCAAGCGUUAAUCGGAAUUACUGGGCGUAAAGCGGGCGCAGGCGGUUUUGUAAGUCUGACGUGAAAUCCCCGGGCUCAACCUGGGAAUUGCGAUGGAGACUGCAAGGCUUGAAUCUGGCAGAGGGGGGUAGAAUUCCACGUGUAGCAGUGAAAUGCGUAGAGAUGUGGAGGAACACCGAUGGCGAAGGCAGCCCCCUGGGUCAAGAUUGACGCUCAUGCACGAAAGCGUGGGGAGCAAACAGG